This is a non-coding RNA of Gammaproteobacteria bacterium, 37 nucleotides long. The record is from Rfam. Lineage: Bacteria; Pseudomonadati; Pseudomonadota; Gammaproteobacteria.
GAAGCGCCCGGCCAAUUGGCCGGGCGAGGAUUGAAAC